RNAcentral lists this long non-coding RNA (4655 nucleotides) under Nicotiana benthamiana. Its description in RNAcentral is "long non-coding RNA (NBEN_LNC040594)". Lineage: Eukaryota; Viridiplantae; Streptophyta; Magnoliopsida; Solanales; Solanaceae. The record is from RNAcentral.
UAUAUUUCAAGUCAUCUAUCAAGUAGACAUUCUUAAUAGAAGAGAGUCUGUCUUACCUAUCUUUCCAACCCCAAUGAUCUCACAUUUCUUUCCAUUACCAAAGGAGACAUUACCUCGUUUUAGGUUCUCAAGUGAAAGGAACUGGUCCUUCUUCCCAAUCAUGUCUUUUGAGGAGCCAUUAUCCAUGUGCCAUAUUUGGCUACUCCCUUUCAUUUGAACCUGCAAGAAAGAAAUCAGGGGUUAGUCUUAGAAAACCAAACUAGUUUGGUUCCCUUUCUAUGGGCAAAAGGAUGAAUCAGAUUCUUUCUUGCCCAACUAGGCAGCUUGUGUUUCUCUUGAACAAAAGCUUUGUUCUUUUGACUGGCCUUUCCUUUUGCAUUGCAUCCAUUUUUAAUGGCCAGUCUUACCACAGUGUGUGCAGAUCUUAUUCUCAGGAAGUGUUAGGUACUUGUUUUUGGGAUCCUAUUUUGGAGUUUGAAUCCCAUAACCAAGUCCUCUUUUGUUGCUACUGUGAUGCUCUUGCAACCAGGAGAGUGCAUCAGAAGCUUUCUUCCAUUUGCAAUUUCUGUCUAGUUCAUGUUUUACCUUUCCUAGAUCUUCUUUUAGGACCUUAAUCAAUUCAUCUUGCUUAUACAAUUCAUCUUUCAUUUUUCCUAGAUUUUCUUCUAGAGUAAGAAAUGAGUGAUAAGUUUUCUUCUUUCCUGUUCCUAGUUUCAGUUUUAAGUUUUCAGACCUAAGUUUUACAACACUAUUGUCAAGUUCAAAAACCUGGUUCUUCAACUCAGCAUUUUUAUUAUCACUCUCACCAGCCCUAGAUUUUAGACUUUUGCAUUUUGCUUUUAGGAUAACACAUUCCCUAGACAAAACUUCCUUUUCAUUGUUAACUAUCUCAAACUUAUCAAUGAAGUCUAAUAAUAGCUCAGCCAACCUUUCCUUAGACAAAAAUUUAAUUUUGUCUUUGAGAUGCAGUAUAGUUACCUCUUGCUCAUACUAUAAUUCUCCAAUGUCCAUAAGAGCUUGCUCUUCUUCAGCUUCAUCUUCUGAGUCUUCAUCAGAGGUUUCACCNNNNNNNNNNNNNNNNNNNNNNNNNNNNNNNNNNNNNNNNNNNNNNNNNNNNNNNNNNNNNNNNNNNNNNNNNNNGUCUUCAUCUGAGGUUUCUCCCCAAGCAGCAACCAUAGCUUUAGUUGAUCCUUUGUUUCUUUUGGGUUGAACAUGUUCCUUCUUCCUGUUUCUUCGUUCAGCCCUUUCUUUCUUCCACUCAAUUUUCCAUUGAGGGCAACUCUUGAUCAUGUGGUCAGUCUUACCACACUUAUAGCAUACGUCAUUGAUCUGUUUCUCAUGAGCUCUUGUCUUGUUGAAGUUUGUACCUUUUGAUGAACCCUUUCUUCUCAUCGGGUACUUUUUGAAAUCUCUAGUGAUCAUAGCCAUCUCAUCAUCUUCCAGAUCUAAACUUUCUGUAAUUUUGAGAGUUAGGCUUCUCUCAUUCUUAGGUGUAUCCAUCUUCCUGGUUCGCCUUCUUAGUUCAUAAGCAGUAAGAUUUCCAAUCAGUUCAUCCAGUCUGAGAGUAGCCCUGUUCUUGGAUUCCUGAAUAGCAAUGAUUUUGCUUUCCCAAGCAACUGGAAGAACUCUUGUCAAGAUUUUCUCAACCUUGUCUUCUUCAAGAAUAACUCUUCCAAGAGACUUAAGUUCAUUUGUCAGUAUAGUGAACCUAGUAUAUAUCUCUUGAAUAGGUUCUCCAUCUUUCAUAGUAAAAUUCUCAUAUUGAGAAUACAACCGUGUUCCUCUGGAUCUCUUCACUUGAGAUGUUUCUUCAUGAGCCACUUGCAAAGUGUCCCAUAUCUCUUUGGCAGUAGCAAAGUUUUGGAUCCUGAUGUACUAAUCUGGACUCAAUCCACAUACAAGCCAUUUCUUGACCUUAGCAUUUUUCUCCCACUUUUUCAAGUCCUCAGCAGUGCAGUCAGCCCGUGUCUUUGGCACAUCCACUCCUUCCUUUUCAUUGUAGUUGCCAAAUGACCAUCAGUGACUAUGUCGCAGAGUUCAUAGUCUUCCCCUAUGAUGUGAUCCUUCAUUCUGUUCUUCCACCAAGAGUAAUACUGUCCAUUGAACAGUGGAGGCCUGGCAGUGGAUUGCCUUUCCCAGCUCCCAUGUGGUGCACUCGUAUUGAUCUUUUCCUAAGGUGUUAGCCUCUUCAAGGAUAACCCGCUCUAAUACCAAUUGAUGUUCCAAACGUUAAUACCAUACAAAAGGGGGUGAUUUGUGUGGUACUCAAUUUUCGAUCUAGAAAAACUUGGUUCUUCUAGGUGUUCUAAUUACUACUGUUUGCGAAAAUAAAAGUACAAAAAUUAAAGAACAUAGAGAUUUUUACGUGGAAAACACCUAGCUCAAAAGAUGAAACAACUACGACCUACUACCUAGUAGGAUUUUCGCAAACAUCCGCUAAAAUCAGUGAGCCAAAAUAGCAUUUACAAAACUCCUUGUAAACCUAAGGAUUAACUCUAAUCCCAGUGUGGCACACAACCUCAACUAUUGCGACACCUUCAAGUUAACUCUAAUUUGAAUACUCAAAGUACCUAAUAUAAUUGCUUCUAUAAAAGUUGGAAAGGUAUAAUUUUAAACCACCAAGUACAAUUGAACUAGACUAAGAACAAAAAAAAUGAAACUAGUUUUUCUAUCUCGUUUAAGUAGCUGCAGGAGUGCACACUUUAAUCUCACAUAAAUUGCUUGCAAAAUUACCUUGCUUUUUUCCUCUCAAUUUAGUUUAACUUCUGCGUAUGUGCAUACCUACAAAAGAGAACAAACUUCGUUACUUAUUAAGUUAGUAAUAAGAGUUUGAUUGAGACUUAAUUUCCUAACGAAGCUACAACAACUCUCGAAAUUUCAUUCCGACCCUCGUAUCAAAAUCUCACCUAUCAACCGGAAUUCGCCAAAAUACUAACUUUGUCAAUUCAAGCCUAAUUUUACACCGAACAUCCAAAAUCACUUCCGGUCACACUUCUAGGUCACAAAUCAUCCUCGAAAGAUAACAGAAUCAUCGGAAUCCAUAUUCGAGCCUCCUAACACAUAAGUCAACGUCCAGUUGACUUUUCCAAAACAAGCCUUCCUUAAAUAGACUAAGUGUCUCAUUUCCUUCUAAAAUCAAUUCACUCGUUCACACAAGACUUUUAUAAUGAAGCAUAAAGAAGCAUAAAAUAGGGAAAACGGGGCGGUAACUCACGUGACGACGAGUCGAGUCGUCACAGAACCGUACCUGUAGCUACGAUAGUUUUUAUGAUAGCGCGCCUAAAACAAACUAUGAAGGUUCAUAAAUAUAACGGCCUAAGCAUGAUCCUACUGACUAAAAGUUGAAAUAAAGUAAAUAAACAAAAUAAACAUAACUGUAAUUUUACUUCGUAUGCAAACAACAACGAUAAUCCGAUUUCCAUUCAAUUUCAAUUAAUAAGAUUUUUUUGUCUUCCAACAGAAGAAAUCAAACUAAUUUUAUACCAUUAUAUUUAACCAAGUAAUUACAUCAAUGCACCAGGAACAAACACCGAGUAACUGAGAACUGCACACCGAAACUCGAACAUAUACUAGCUGUAAUAUUAACUCUAGAUUCUAAAAGUAAUUCAUGAAAUUAGACCUAGUAUUAACUUAAGGAAUAAAGCCAGUUCAAUUCUAUUCAAGUGCUUCCAAUUAUACUAGUAAUAUUUUAUACCUUAAAAACAAUUGAUUGAAUUUCUCUUUUCUUAAGAGCUUAUAUCUAUUUUCAACAUAUUGAUCUAAGCAAGUACUAACCAAUGAAUAUUGCACUAAAUUGGUGAAUGAACUAGCUCAAACAAACGAUGAAAUUUUGAUUAAGGGCGUACAUCCGUCUUAAAAUAUCACAAACGGGCCAAAAUUCACACAACUUUUUUGUUCAACCAUCAUAUAAGACACAAUCAACAAAUAAAGGUUAAAAUAGUGACGGACCUCAAAUCGAAGUAAUUUUGAAUCUGGAAAUGCUUAGCGCCAGAGAACUUGGACAGCGACAACCUCGACAGAAAAUGAGCUUCAACUCUCAAAAAUCUCCAUAUUUCAGAAGCUAUAUUUUAAGAAAAAGAGAAAUACCUUUUUUGUACUUUUCCGAUUCUUCAAGAUGAAAGCAGGCUAAGCAGAGAACUGAAAAUCCUUUUUUUAUUGGUUUUCAAAAAUAAAGAACCCAGCUGAAAAUCUGAAAAUCCAAUCAAAUCUCUAUCCCAAAAUCGCAUGUCCUUUCUUCCCUCUCCUUUCACUUCUUUGUUUCUUUUCUUUGCAGGUGGUGGCUCUAGAAUGGUAGAGGAGUGGCUGCUCGAUCUUUUGGUUCAGAAAAAAGAGAUGAUCCAGGGUUCUCUUGGAGAUUUUUGUGGUUGAGCUCCAAGUGAGUAACUGUUGUUCUCUUGUUUCCGGCAACAAGAGAGACACACAGAGAGAGCUUUUGAGGGAGGUGGAGGUCGGCUGUUGUGUUAGACCGUUCCCAGAUGUUCGGUGGUCGAUUUGGCUCAAGGUUGGAGGAAAAUUCUCUGGUGUGUUAUCACCGGAUUUCGGCAGUAAGGAGAUGGGGAGUGCCGCGGCUAUGCCAGGAUAUGGUUAAGGCCUCGAAAGUUUUUCGGCCGCUGAUCUUGUUCUCUAAGGUCCGUAGGGCAUUUUGUUCUUUUGGG